GCGAAAGUGGCGGAAUUGGUAGACGCACUGGAUUUAGGUUCCAGCGCCGCAAGGCGUGCGGGUUCGAGUCCCGCCUUUCGCA
RNAcentral lists this transfer RNA (82 nucleotides) under Lysobacter enzymogenes. Its description in RNAcentral is "tRNA_Leu_TAG". It matches the Rfam family "tRNA". Rfam says of the family: Transfer RNA (tRNA) molecules are approximately 80 nucleotides in length. Their secondary structure includes four short double-helical elements and three loops (D, anti-codon, and T loops). The record is from RNAcentral. RNAcentral also lists the same sequence under 2 other names. Lineage: Bacteria; Pseudomonadati; Pseudomonadota; Gammaproteobacteria; Lysobacterales; Lysobacteraceae.